UGCAUGGCGCAGAUACCAUGCAGUCGAGCGGAACGAGUUAUCUGAACCUUCGGGGAACGAUAACGGCGUCGAGCGGCGGACGGGUGAGUAAUGCCUAGGAAAUUGCCCUGAUGUGGGGGAUAACCAUUGGAAACGAUGGCUAAUACCGCAUGAUGCCUACGGGCCAAAGAGGGGGACCUUCGGGCCUCUCGCGUCAGGAUAUGCCUAGGUGGGAUUAGCUAGUUGGUGAGGUAAGGGCUCACCAAGGCGACGAUCCCUAGCUGGUCUGAGAGGAUGAUCAGCCACACUGGAACUGAGACACGGUCCAGACUCCUACGGGAGGCAGCAGUGGGGAAUAUUGCACAAUGGGCGCAAGCCUGAUGCAGCCAUGCCGCGUGUGUGAAGAAGGCCUUCGGGUUGUAAAGCACUUUCAGUCGUGAGGAAGGUGGUGGUGUUAAUAGCACUAUUAUUUGACGUUAGCGACAGAAGAAGCACCGGCUAACUCCGUGCCAGCAGCCGCGGUAAUACGGAGGGUGCGAGCGUUAAUCGGAAUUACUGGGCGUAAAGCGCAUGCAGGUGGUUUGUUAAGUCAGAUGUGAAAGCCCGGGGCUCAACCUCGGAAUUGCAUUUGAAACUGGCAGACUAGAGUACUGUAGAGGGGGGUAGAAUUUCAGGUGUAGCGGUGAAAUGCGUAGAGAUCUGAAGGAAUACCGGUGGCGAAGGCGGCCCCCUGGACAGAUACUGACACUCAGAUGCGAAAGCGUGGGGAGCAAACAGGAUUAGAUACCCUGGGUAGUCCACGCCGUAAACGAUGUCUACUUGGAGGUUGUGGCCUUGAGCCGUGGCUUUCGGAGCUAACGCGUUAAGUAGACCGCCUGGGGGAGUACGGUCGCAAGAUUAAAACUCAAAUGAAUUGACAGGGGCCCGCACAAGCGGUGGGAGCAUGGUGGUUUAAUUCGAUGCAACGCGAGAAUCCUUACCUACUCUUGACAUCCAGAGAACUUUGCAGAGAAUGGAUUGGGUGCUUCAGGAACUCUGAGAACAGGUGCUGCAUGGCUGUCGUCAGCUCGUGUUGGUGAAAUGUUGGGAUUAGGUCCCGCACGAAGCCGCCAACCCCGUUUAUCCUUGUUUGCUAGGCGGAGUAAGUGUCAGGUACCUCCAAUGGGAGAACUUGCCGGGUGGAAUAAAUCGGAAGGAAAGGGUGUGGGGAACACAA
This 1195-nucleotide ribosomal RNA is filed under the name Vibrio parahaemolyticus. RNAcentral's name for it is "bacterial SSU rRNA". It matches the Rfam family "Bacterial small subunit ribosomal RNA", at positions 38 to 1185 of the family's 1533-position model. Lineage: Bacteria; Pseudomonadati; Pseudomonadota; Gammaproteobacteria; Vibrionales; Vibrionaceae. The record is from RNAcentral.